GGGGCUGGACAGCCUGGGCAGCUGCAGGUCCCAUCCAACGCUUUUGCAAGGUCUUUGCUGGGCUGCACUGUUAAGAAGAUUUGGUGGAAAAGGACAGACUACUCAUCCCAUUGAUUAUUAAGUUUGUUAUAAAAGACUAGAAAACUUGGCACUCAUUGGAGUACUACCCACCUGUAAUACGGACGCGUAUUGCUGGUUCUGCUGAUUCCCAGUAAGAGAGGGUCCUCUUCAAACCUGACUGCCAGAAGUUCUCUCAGUCGAGUGCAGCAAGCUUCUCUUAUGGUGAUGUAUACUUAAGCUGUUUCUUUAAGCUUAAUAUUAAGCUGUUUCCUUAAGCUG
Non-coding RNA from Pelobates cultripes (western spadefoot toad), 339 nucleotides. The record is from the annotation of a GenBank genome assembly. Lineage: Eukaryota; Metazoa; Chordata; Amphibia; Anura; Pelobatidae.